CCCAACUAAUGACCCGGUCCAAAAAGGAAAUAAACAUAAAGUGAGUAGGGUUUCUAUUUUGAGCUAAAAUCAGCUCCAUCUCCACUGCCAUUCCGCCUAUUUCACCAUGGUUGCCUUCGAACAUCUUCAAUUCGUGCUUCUCCAAUUGUGGGUGACAAACACCGUCCCUUGAUUGGUUUAAAGUGAAUCCUUUUCCAGCUUGCAAGAGUAAGAAUCUUCUAUCCUUUUGGUGACUUAAGCUAACACUUGUUCUAUAACCUCUGCUUGAUGAUGUUUGAGUUCUCCGGUGUAAGGGUCCUCAUAUUGAUUUUUUGUGCUAACAACUUGGGUCUAGUCCUCUGGGAUCUGGUGUUUAAUCCCGAUAAGAAACCUCUACUAUAGUGUUUAAGCUUGCUGACAGACCUUACCAAUACCCGUUGUCUUGUUGUUUUGCAGUUAUGAAAGGGAUAGAGAUUGUGAGAUGCUCGUACCCACUUGUAAUUGGAUGGUACCAAGAUCCUCAGCCACAUGCACUGAAGAUCUGACCUUGUGACCUCUCAAUCUACUGAGAGUCCAUUUUUGUUGGCUGGUGUAAUUAAGCUAAGUUGCAAUUUCACCUUUUGUGUAGCUUGUCAGGUUGUAAAUACGUCAUGUGAAACAACUUGCUUUAGCCUUUUCAGUCUUUCUAGCUCUUUGAAACUGCUAGCCUCAAAUAACAACUUUGCUAUUUAUCACUGUUUAAAAUCUUUUCGCCUGCACUUGUUAACUGAUGGAAGAAUGUGUAUGUGAACUCCUUGUGUUCCAAUGCUAUGUUGGCCAGAUAAUCUACUAAUUAAUUGCCUUCUCUGUAUAUAUGCUGAAUCUACACUUGCUUAUUUGAAACAAAGGAGCAUAUCAAAUGCCUAGCAUUUGGCCGUGAUUUCAUGUUCAAAAUAUAUACAAUGUUUAAAUCUUCAAAAUAAUUCAUCAAACUCCAUAUAUAUCCUCAGA
This 969-nucleotide long non-coding RNA is filed under the name Capsicum annuum. Its description in RNAcentral is "long non-coding RNA (CANN_LNC016552)". Lineage: Eukaryota; Viridiplantae; Streptophyta; Magnoliopsida; Solanales; Solanaceae. The record is from RNAcentral.